UCAGUCAGUCUCUUGCUAUCAUUCGUGCCGUUAAGAGUGUGAUGUGCAAUUUCUUCUUUCUGUCUCUCCCACGUCUGUCGACUCCUUGUACGUUUUGGCCUACGGCCGCCACCAUGUACCCAUUUAAUCUGCUGGAUGCAUAAGCAACUGGUUUGCGGAAAAAUCGAGGUGAACUAUGAUUAACGGAGGUGCGAUGAUGGCUUGAGAACAGUCAUCAACAGGUAACGAAAAUCAUGACGAUUUAGGAAAAUAAAAUCGUCAAGGGUUUUUUUGCUUAUAGUGCUAAAUUAGGGGAAGGAACCAACAGGUUAGAAUAUCGUGAUGAGUUUGGGAAAGCUUGUUUGAAUUUAUUUGUUUAAUUUUGAAAAGAAAGGUUGGAGGUCGUGAGUAUUUUGAAAGUAGAGGUUGUAAUUAGUUCUGAAAGUUAUUGUUUUUUAAAGAGAGAGUUACAAGCGAGAAAAAUCAUCCCCUGUUCUUAUGGGGACCAGUGCCGAUUGACCAAUGGAGUCCUCGAUCUGUCGCGAAUCCUAGAGUGAUGUUAAUAGAUUAGAAAAUUAAGUAUUGAAGUGAAUAAUGCAUACUGAGAAAGGAAAGUUCAGUUAGAUGUUAUAACAAUACACGAAACAAUAAAGAUUAUUGUUUGUCGCCGUGAUAUUGCCAGUUCUUUCGAUGCCUUUGUCAAACACAUCCCUUAAGAUCUUUGAAACACUCCAAUUAUGCAGGUGAGGUUAAGCGCUCUUAGUGCACCUCCGCCGUAACUCUCCAACCGUAGUAGUGCAGCCGCUGAUUCUCUCGCUCAUUCUUCUUCCUCCUCCUCUGGACGGAUCAGCUGCACCGAAACUGUCUCCUUCCGCUUUCCUUUGUUUCGAGUGAGGCGCCUCCUCCACUUGAAACGCCUCCACCCACAUCUCCCUCUUCUACCCCGCAACAACAGACUCGUCGCUCCUCCUCUUCGACGUUCAUUGGACUCCGGUGAACGAGAAAUCUCGGAACAGAGGAAAAAAAACGAGUGGAAAACGGAAUAAAACAGAAACUCCGUAUGAAAACUUGUGACGUCUGCUGCAUAUUGCACAGCGAUGUCAUAUCACUGGUUUUGAAUGGACUGGUUGAAGGCUCUGUUCAGCAGCCUAUGCUAAGGACAUGCGAGUGUGCCUCUCCUAUUACCCAUUGGCUACGUAGCAUUGCGCUUAAAUUGAAACACACUUGUAUAUGAGACAAAUCUGUAGAAUAAGCUAUAGCAACAUAGCUCCCAUGGCCGCCAUCCCGGAGACCAGCAAACUACCUCAGCCGAGAGCGACCCCUGUGAGAGAUCUGGGGAUAUAACAGCAGAUAGCCUUUCAAGUUUCUCGAAGAGAUAAGUACGGUCAUCUUACCCGUAUUCUCGAUGACUGGAAUUGCCUUCCAGUUAGAUAAGGAUGAUACCAAAGACAAUGGAUAAAGUCAGAUGUUAUUCAGAUGUUCUUUAAUUUGUCAUCGGGAAACUCAUGGCUAGGAAAGUCUAGGCGAAAUCGCUGUUGAAAAUAUCGCGUUGAAGAAAGCUCUGCUGUGGUUGCUGUUUAUAUGAUAUCUGGGAGUAACCUUUUUCUUAAGCAACCUACGUGAUUUGCUUGUGUUUCUAGUUUGUAAUUUUUUUUUUUAUUUGCCUAACUAGGAUACUAGUAAUGAAAUGAUUAACUAAGUUUUUUUAUCAUUGUUAUUUCUGCACAAACAGUUCGUACUAUCCUCCCGAAAUGUUACUAUGACUUCUCAGUUCCGCGCUUCUGGGUUCAUUUGAAUCAAAAUUAACGCACUUUUGUCAAGAACAGCUUUUCAUUUUACGUUGGUUUCGUUGUUGAUACUUUAAACAAAAUCAGGGCGCUCCAUUCGUUGAUGUGCAAUAAACGCUUUAUAAAUUACUUGAAAAGAUUCAGUUUUUUUUCAUUUCGAUCAGUAAGCUAGCUCCUCGAAUUCACUCACUCAAACACUCUCACUCACAAAAAGCAAUCACUGCAAAUGCUUGCAAAC
Molecule: long non-coding RNA, 2004 nt
Organism: Macrobrachium nipponense
Lineage: Eukaryota; Metazoa; Arthropoda; Malacostraca; Decapoda; Palaemonidae
Exons: 4
Source: RefSeq, a predicted model, not a curated record